Unclassified non-coding RNA from Otolemur garnettii (small-eared galago), 99 nucleotides. It matches the Rfam family "Y RNA". Rfam says of the family: Y RNAs are components of the Ro ribonucleoprotein particle (Ro RNP), in association with Ro60 and La proteins. The Y RNAs and Ro60 and La proteins are well conserved, but the function of the Ro RNP is not known. The record is from Ensembl. NCBI's taxonomy places the organism in Eukaryota, Metazoa, Chordata, Mammalia, Primates, Galagidae.
GGCUUGUGGAGUGCAGUGGUGUUUGUAACUAAUUGAUCACAACCAGUUACAGAUUCCUUUGUUCCUUCCCACUCCCUUGCUUCCCUUGACUAGCCUUAA